Molecule: transfer RNA, 71 nt
Filed under: Myzornis pyrrhoura
Lineage: Eukaryota; Metazoa; Chordata; Aves; Passeriformes
Description: tRNA-Gln
Rfam family: tRNA
About the family: Transfer RNA (tRNA) molecules are approximately 80 nucleotides in length. Their secondary structure includes four short double-helical elements and three loops (D, anti-codon, and T loops).
Source: RNAcentral
UAGAAAGUAAUAUAAGGGAAGUAUGGAGGGUUUUGAUCUCUCUAGUGCGGGUUCAAUUCCUGUCUUUCUAA